Non-coding RNA from Mauremys reevesii (Reeves's turtle), 2552 nucleotides. The record is from the annotation of a RefSeq genome assembly. NCBI's taxonomy places the organism in Eukaryota, Metazoa, Chordata, Testudines, Geoemydidae.
GUCAGGACUGGGCAACAGUUUUUCUUUUGACAAAAUUGAGCACCAUUAACUUCAAUAACUUUCCUUCCUGGAAAGGUGCAGCAAGUUAAGGAGAGAUGGUGGGAUGCUUGGAAGCUCUCUUAGCUUGUUUCUUCCCUGCUGUUCUGUGGGCCAUUCACUUGGAGCAGGAGCAGAUCUCGGUCACAAAGCAGCCACUUCAAGGCAGCUCUGCCACAUUCACUUGCAAGGUGUUUGGUGGAUCGGACUCUACCUACAUCCACUGGUACCGAGCCCCAGCUGGAGAGGCCCCACAGAGGCUGCUGUACCUCACUCUCUCUGGGUCAGACUUAAAGCGAGAGGCAGGCUUCUCCAGUGACAAAUUCUCAGCCUAUGGGACACAAAGCACCUGCAUCUUGAUGGUGAACAAGCUGGAAGAGACAGAUAGCGGCCGCUAUUACUGUACCACAUGGGAUUUUACACAGUGCCACAAGUUUCCUGCAACUCUGCACAAAAAACCACCACAGCUCUGUGUGUGGGGCUCAACUCUCAUAUUACUGCUGCAGCAGAGCAGGCUGAGCCCUGCCCCCUGCCCAGGCACACCAGCCCACAGAACAGGCAUAGUCUCAGUUCCACAAGCCACAGCCAGUGUGAACUCCCGUUCGACCAGCCCAAGUUGUGUAGGGAUUUGCCUCAGCCAGGGAAGUGGGAGUUUACCUAGUGGGUGGCACAAAGCUGACAUCCAGUGACUGCCUACCAGUGCUGGCUCCAUCUCUAAUCCACAUGUGAUUAAACAGUCACUACCCAUUUGACUUCACAAAGCAACAGGUGACCAGAGGCACUGAGGAGUCAGAGAAUGAGGGAGAAUGGGGUGGAGAGUGUAAAAGUGAAUAGGGAAGGUGAGGGGGAAGAUGUUUUCUAGGUAGGAACAAACAGCAGUUUGCAUCUCCACUGGGAAUUUUCAGCACAUGUCCAUGGCUGGAACUGUAGUAUACACAGAAUACAGGAGUUUUUCUACUCAGUUUUAGUGGCCAUACAUAUAAUAACGAACUUGGCUUCUCUGAGUGUACACGUGUGCCAUGCUCAAGGAGUUAAGACAAGAGCAGCAGCAAAAUUUAUAGCUUACAUGCUCUUCAUUCUAAAUGUGAGAUGGGCACAGGGAAAUCUUGGGGGGCUUCCGUCCCAUGGGAAAGGGCCCAAUCCUCAUAUUCAUCGGCACUGCACUCGGUGUAAGACUGAGCUUGGUGACAAAGGUUGCUGGAUACCAUCUUUGUGCCUCCAUAAUGCUAGGACCAGCUAGUGGCUUGUUUGCUCCCACUACACAUUUGCGCAUUUAGUUGUGCCCUGCUAGGAAUGGCCCUAAGGAGCCCUUGUGGGAGUUAGGGAUCACAGUAAUGCAGUACCUCCUUCUAGCCAUGUCCAUUACAGUAGAAUGGAAAUGGAAUACCUUAUCCUAGGUUCCAGGAAUUCCAGCCCAUCCUAAGAAUGGGUAGGUUUGGGUUCACACUCAUGUCCUCUGAUAGUUCAUUUCACCAUCAAUUUCCUUUGACUGAGAACUUUUAAUCAUCAUUACAAAUAAGCAAAUGAAACUGGUUAUUGUAUUGUGAUGGAUGUGUGGGGCUCCUGUUAAUAUCAAUGGAUUGUAUAUGGUACUCACUCACAUAUAAUUUAGAGAGACAUAUGUGCAUGUCACUUACAGACACCAUUCAGAAUGUCCAAUAUAGAUUAAUAUCAAUUCAAGUUCUUGGCAUGUAUGUUAAGGAAACCAUUUCGUUCACAACAAAUCAUGAACAUAGGACAUUUACUGAAAUGUGGUACUUACACAUUUAUUUCCAAAAGAAUUCAUUAAUACGUAGCUAAAGUUCAUAAAAUCAGAGAGGUUUGAAUGGAAAAGACCUAUUACAGCAUCCAGUCCAUCUUCCUGCCAAUGCAGAACUAUUCCCUACAAAGUAUCUUCCAGUGUUUUGUCUAGUCUAGUUUUAAAGGUCUCCACAGUGGGGUUUUCCAUCAUCUCCUUUGAGAGAUGAUUCCAUGCCUGAUUGAGAUCAAUGUUGGUAAAUUUACUUGAUAUUCUAAGUUUUACAUAUUUUCUCUCUCCUCACUGGUGUCUCCAACUCAACCCAAUUUUAAAUCGUAUGCAAGUUUUCAAAUGUAUUUAUUGUUCAUGCCAUCCUUUGCAUCAGUAACGAAGAUGUUCUGCAUUUCUUUUUUCUUGCCUUAAAGAUUGAUUAAAGCACUUAGAAAUCUCCAAAUGAAAGGUGCUCUAUCCCGCAAGAUACUGAGCUAUUUCUAAGAGAUGGGGGUGCGCUUAUCAUCAUCUGUAGGCACUAAUGAGAGGUGAGAUACCUCAGCACUUCCAGGGUUACUUAUAGUGCUUUACAGGAUAAACUCUGAAUGAGCUAAGUGCUCAGAUUAUUUUUAAUAGUUCUGACUUAGGUACAGAAUUCAAUUAAGUCACGAGAAGAUUCGAUACUUGAGUUAGGUGACUAUUUUUCUUCUAGUCUCUUGAUCAUUACAGGUCUGUCACAUCUUAGACACAUUUAACAUGUGCUAUUUCAGCUUUACGCGGUCAGCAA